AUGGUUGUCGUCAGGCUCGUGUCGUGAGGAUCGUUGGUUAAGUCCCGCAACGACGCGCAACCUCGACCUUAGUUGCCAGCAUUCAGUUGGGCACUCUAAGGUGACCGCCGGCUAAAAGUCGGAGGAAGGUGGGGAUGACGUCAAAUCAUCAUGCCCCUUAUGACCUGGGCUACACACGUGCUACAAUGGGCGGUACAAAGGGUCGCGAACCCGCGAGGGGGAGCCAAUCCCAAAAAGCCGCUCCCAGUUCGGAUUGCAGGCUGCAACUCGCCUGCAUGAAGCCGGAAUCGCUAGUAAUCGCGGAUCAGCAUGCCGCGGUGAAUACGUUCCCGGGCCUU
Molecule: ribosomal RNA, 338 nt
Filed under: uncultured Anoxybacillus sp.
Lineage: Bacteria; Bacillati; Bacillota; Bacilli; Caryophanales; Anoxybacillaceae
Description: bacterial SSU rRNA
Rfam family: Bacterial small subunit ribosomal RNA
Source: RNAcentral